RNAcentral lists this ribosomal RNA (253 nucleotides) under uncultured bacterium. Its description in RNAcentral is "partial 16S ribosomal RNA". It matches the Rfam family "Bacterial small subunit ribosomal RNA", at positions 524 to 776 of the family's 1533-position model. The record is from RNAcentral.
GACGAGGGAUCCUAGCGUUGUUCGGAAUCAUUGGGCGUAAAGCGGGUGUAGGUGGCUUUGUAAGUCAGGUGUGAAAGCCCAGGGCUCAACCCUGGAAGUGCAUUUGAUACUGCGAAGCUUGAAUGUUGGAGAGGUCAUCGGAAUACCUGGUGUAGUGGUGAAAUACGUAGAUAUCAGGUGGAACACCGGAGGCGAAGGCGGGUGACUGGCCAAACAUUGACACUGAGACCCGAAAGCGUGGGGAUCAAACAGG